GCAGUCGUGGCCGAGUGGUUAAGGCGAUGUAUUAGAAAUCCAUUGGGGUCUGCAAGUACAGGUUCAAAUACUGACGACUGCG
RNAcentral lists this transfer RNA (82 nucleotides) under Ixodes scapularis (black-legged tick). It matches the Rfam family "tRNA". Rfam says of the family: Transfer RNA (tRNA) molecules are approximately 80 nucleotides in length. Their secondary structure includes four short double-helical elements and three loops (D, anti-codon, and T loops). The record is from Rfam by way of RNAcentral. Lineage: Eukaryota; Metazoa; Arthropoda; Arachnida; Ixodida; Ixodidae.